Molecule: ribosomal RNA, 253 nt
Filed under: uncultured bacterium
Lineage: Bacteria
Description: partial 16S ribosomal RNA
Rfam family: Bacterial small subunit ribosomal RNA
Source: RNAcentral
UACGGAGGGUGCAAGCGUUAUCCGGAUUCACUGGGUUUAAAGGGUGCGUAGGUGGGCAGGUAAGUCAGUGGUGAAAUCUCCGGGCUUAACCCGGAAACUGCCAUUGAUACUAUCUGUCUUGAAUACCGUGGAGGUGAGCGGAAUAUGUCAUGUAGCGGUGAAAUGCUUAGAUAUGACAUAGAACACCAAUUGCGAAGGCAGCUUACUACCCGAAUAUUGACACUGAGGCACGAAAGCGUGGAGAUCAAACAGG